RNAcentral lists this transfer RNA (62 nucleotides) under Madagascaria erythrocladioides. It matches the Rfam family "tRNA", at positions 6 to 65 of the family's 71-position model. Rfam says of the family: Transfer RNA (tRNA) molecules are approximately 80 nucleotides in length. Their secondary structure includes four short double-helical elements and three loops (D, anti-codon, and T loops). Further hydrogen bonds mediate the characteristic L-shaped molecular structure. tRNAs have two regions of fundamental functional importance: the anti-codon, which is responsible for specific mRNA codon recognition, and the 3' end, to which the tRNAs corresponding amino acid is attached (by aminoacyl-tRNA synthetases). tRNAs cope with the degeneracy of the genetic code in two manners: having more than one tRNA (with a specific anti-codon) for a particular amino acid; and 'wobble' base-pairing, i.e. permitting non-standard base-pairing at the 3rd anti-codon position. The record is from RNAcentral. Lineage: Eukaryota; Rhodophyta; Compsopogonophyceae; Erythropeltidales; Erythrotrichiaceae.
GAAUAGCCAAGUGGUAAGGCAGUGGUUUUUGAUACCAUAAUUCAGAAGUUCGAAUCUUUUUU